Molecule: small RNA, 341 nt
Filed under: Megasphaera cerevisiae DSM 20462
Lineage: Bacteria; Bacillati; Bacillota; Negativicutes; Veillonellales; Veillonellaceae
Description: cspA thermoregulator
Rfam family: cspA thermoregulator
Source: Rfam by way of RNAcentral
UUCGGUUGACAUUGACGAAUUCUUAUGAUACACUAACAAAAGAGCUACAAGAUAGCUGGAAUUGUUUUUUUAGGAGGAUUUUGUUAUGCACGGUAAAGUAAAAUGGUUUAGCGCAGAAAAAGGUUAUGGCUUUAUUGAAAGAGAAGAUGGCGGCGAUGUAUUUGUACAUUUUUCAGCUAUCCAGGAAGACGGCUUCAAAUCCCUGGCAGAAGGUCAGGAAGUUGAAUUCGACAUCGUCGAUGGUGCUCGUGGACCGCAGGCAGCUAACGUAACUAAAGCUUAAUUUUAGUUAUAGUUUAUAAUGGACCUUUUACCGGUAACCUAAUGGUUACCGGUUUUUU